RNAcentral lists this RNase P RNA (365 nucleotides) under Lachnospiraceae bacterium. RNAcentral describes it as "RNase P RNA component class A". It matches the Rfam family "Bacterial RNase P class A". From Rfam's summary of the family: Ribonuclease P (RNase P) is a ubiquitous endoribonuclease, found in archaea, bacteria and eukarya as well as chloroplasts and mitochondria. Its best characterised activity is the generation of mature 5'-ends of tRNAs by cleaving the 5'-leader elements of precursor-tRNAs. Cellular RNase Ps are ribonucleoproteins. The record is from RNAcentral. Lineage: Bacteria; Bacillati; Bacillota; Clostridia; Lachnospirales; Lachnospiraceae.
UUGGCCGACCAGAUGAUCGCGCCCGGAACUCCCGGGUGAGGAAAGUCCGGGCUUCACAGGGCAGGAUGCCGGCUAACGGCCGGUCGGGGUAACCCGAAGGAAAGUGCAACAGAAAACAAACCGCCGGCCACCCGGCCGGUAAGGCUGAAACGGCGGUGUAAGAGACCACCGCUUCCGUGGUAACACGGAAGGCAAUGUAAACCCCAUCCGAAGCAAAACCUAACAGAAAGCCAUACGGCGGCCCGUCGUGCUUUCGGGUUGGUUGCGUCACACGGGGGAAACCUCGCGUGGGAGCUGAGCGGUAACGUUCAGUCAAGAAAGAUGAUCAUCAAGUACAGAACCCGGCUUAUUGGUCGACCAUAAUU